GACGAACGCUGGCGGCGUGCUUAACACAUGCAAGUCGAACGGUGAAGCGCCUUCCUUUUUGGUGUGCGCGGAUGAGUGGCGAACGGGUUAGUAACACGUGAGUAACCUGCCCCCUUCUUCUGGAAAACCGCAUGAAAGUGUCGCUAAUACGGGAUAUUCUAGGUCUUUCGCAUGAUUAGUCUGGGAUAGAUAUGGUUUCGGUGGCUGAUGUGCUCGCGGCCUAUCAGCUUGCUGGGGGUGUGAUGGCCUACCGAGGCGGUGACGGGUAGCAGGCAUGAGAGGGUGGACGGUCUUACUGGGACUGAGACACGGCACAGACUACUACGGGAGGCAGCAGUGAGGAAUCUUGCACAAUGGAAGGAAGCAUGAUGCAGCGACGCCGCGUGAGGGAUGGACGCCGUCGGGUUGUGACCCUCUUUCGCCAGUGAAGCAGGCCUGGCUCGUUUGUGGGUGGGUUGACGGUAGCUGGAUAAGAAGCGCCGGCUAACUACGUG
RNAcentral lists this ribosomal RNA (494 nucleotides) under uncultured bacterium. RNAcentral's name for it is "partial 16S ribosomal RNA". It matches the Rfam family "Bacterial small subunit ribosomal RNA", at positions 28 to 507 of the family's 1533-position model. The record is from RNAcentral.